This 504-nucleotide long non-coding RNA is filed under the name Sus scrofa (pig). RNAcentral describes it as "lncRNA (ENSSSCG00070023237.1)". The record is from RNAcentral. Lineage: Eukaryota; Metazoa; Chordata; Mammalia; Artiodactyla; Suidae.
CACAAUGCCUCAUGCAUGAGGCAGUCAGUAAAUAUUUGCUGAAUGAUUUGAGUUCACUUUGACUAUUGCACGUUAGUCAGCAUACAAGUCUGUAGUCAUUUAUUGUUAAAUUUCUUCCUGACAUAUAUUUGGUGUAGGAGGAAAAGUGUGUGGGUUUCAGAAAAAUACAGAGAAUGGACAAUUAAGUUUUCCUAGGGUGUGCCGCAUCCUGUUGUCCUAAAAAUGUUUCAGAAAAGCAGAUUGCUGCAAGUACAGUUAGCAAAAAGCAAAAUAGAGGAAUGCUUAAAGAAUAGCAAAAAGGUAAUGCUUGUGUUUGAACUUUAAAUUAGAAGAAAAAUUAUUCUUGUGAUUUUAACUUAUCUGCCAAAUCAGAGUUUUUUCCUAAAUAGAAAAAGUUGUGUCUUAGACUAUAUUUUUUAUUCAAAAAAUUUUUAUAGUUUCCUUUUAUUGAUGUGGUUUGGACUUAUAAAUAAAACUAAAUAUCUCAUUUCCUUUUUUUUGUUU